This 1265-nucleotide long non-coding RNA is filed under the name Rosa chinensis. Its description in RNAcentral is "sRNA RchiOBHm_Chr5g0005501". Lineage: Eukaryota; Viridiplantae; Streptophyta; Magnoliopsida; Rosales; Rosaceae. The record is from RNAcentral.
UUGGGUUUCACCAAAACCGAAGUUUCUACACACUUUGAUCAAUCACUUCUCUUGAUUCUCACACAUUCAAGCCUUGUUCUUACCUUGUUCUUGAGAUUUUGUGGAAUUGUAUAGUGAUUUGGGUUCUAGAAACCGAAAUCCCUAUACUUUGAAGCAUUUCUCUUCUCAUAUAGCAUCUAGGAGACAAGGGAGCCAUCUUGUGCUUUUGGUUUGGCUCCAAAAAGAGUCAAACCCGUGGGUAUAUCACUUGUUCUCCACUCUUUGCUCUCUUUUAUUUGUUAUUUAUGAUGUUCAUGGCUUGUAGUUGUGUAAAUAUGAGUUGUGAGUAGUUUAAUUUGGGGCUAGGGCACAGCCUUAGCCAAACUUGUGCACAAAACAAUGUAAUCUUUAUGCUAUUUGAUGUUUAUGCAUGUUUUGAAUCUUUUGGCUACUAUACUUUAAUGUGUCCUAAGUGUGUUCAUAGAUUUAUCACCUAGAAGCAUGCUUUAGGAACAUGUUUAAUUUAUCACCUAGAAGCAUGCUUUAGGAAGUUAAUGAAUCGGAAACAUGAACUUGAUAAACUCUUGAUUCCGUGAGCAUAUGUAGCUAAAUAGGUGGUGACUUAGCUUAUUCCUACGGGAAGAACUAAGUUGCUUGAAUUUCUUACCUUGAAAUUAAAGCAUGAUGUUGUGAGUUUAGGUUCCGGAAGAAUUUAGGCUCAUGGCACCAUAGGCCAUUUAUAAUCCGGAAGAUUUGAAUGGUAUAAAGGUUGUGUAAUUUAGCUUUGCUUUGGAAGAGAUUGUUAAAUUGCAUGACUAGUUGGUUUCUUGGUAGCUUCAUCAAAGCACUAAGGGGGAAUUUAUCAAAACAUGUUGUUACAUUAAAUUUGGGUUACAUUGUGUGCAUGAGUAAGGCUAGGUGUGAUGCCUAAGCCUCUAUUUCUCUCUUAUAUCAAAAUCUCUAUUUUUAUUUGCAUACUUUAUUUUUGUGUACUUUUAAUUUAUUCGCAUAAAAAUUAAAAUCAAUCAAGCCGUUCACUACCAUAAUUGUUAAUACCAUCCUCAUGAUCUUUAGCUUCCAAAGGGCUAAGGUUGUGACUUUGUAAAAAGGUAGAUUGCAUAAUUUUUCUAGGCUUUCUUGCGGUAAUCUAGCUAGGGUGGAGUUUCCCUCAAUCCCUUGGGUACGAUACUCUACACUUUCCCUAACUAAAACUUGACCUUCUACACUUGGAAGUAAGGAACAUCAUACACAAAUUUGCACACACUUUCAUACUCAAUGAUGUCGCC